This 502-nucleotide ribosomal RNA is filed under the name Bacillaceae bacterium CL5.50. Its description in RNAcentral is "bacterial SSU rRNA". It matches the Rfam family "Bacterial small subunit ribosomal RNA", at positions 15 to 496 of the family's 1533-position model. Lineage: Bacteria; Bacillati; Bacillota; Bacilli; Caryophanales; Bacillaceae. The record is from RNAcentral.
GAUCCCUGGCUCAGGAUGAACGCUGGCGGCGUGCCUAAUACAUGCAAGUCGAGCGAAUGGAUUAAGAGCUUGCUCUUAUGAAGUUAGCGGCGGACGGGUGAGUAACACGUGGGUAACCUGCCCAUAAGACUGGGAUAACUCCGGGAAACCGGGGCUAAUACCGGAUAACAUUUUGCACCGCAUGGUGCGAAAUUCAAAGGCGGCUUCGGCUGUCACUUAUGGAUGGACCCGCGUCGCAUUAGCUAGUUGGUGAGGUAACGGCUCACCAAGGCAACGAUGCGUAGCCGACCUGAGAGGGUGAUCGGCCACACUGGGACUGAGACACGGCCCAGACUCCUACGGGAGGCAGCAGUAGGGAAUCUUCCGCAAUGGACGAAAGUCUGACGGAGCAACGCCGCGUGAGUGAUGAAGGCUUUCGGGUCGUAAAACUCUGUUGUUAGGGAAGAACAAGUGCUAGUUGAAUAAGCUGGCACCUUGACGGUACCUAACCAGAAAGCCACGG